GGUGCAGAUGAUGACACCCAAAGCGACCAAAGUCUGAGUAAAGUGAUUGGCAACCUCAGUGUCUGAUGCACC
This is a small nucleolar RNA of Phascolarctos cinereus (koala), 72 nucleotides long. The record is from Ensembl. NCBI's taxonomy places the organism in Eukaryota, Metazoa, Chordata, Mammalia, Diprotodontia, Phascolarctidae.